RNAcentral lists this transfer RNA (76 nucleotides) under Deltaproteobacteria bacterium. Its description in RNAcentral is "tRNA-Ala". It matches the Rfam family "tRNA". From Rfam's summary of the family: Transfer RNA (tRNA) molecules are approximately 80 nucleotides in length. Their secondary structure includes four short double-helical elements and three loops (D, anti-codon, and T loops). Lineage: Bacteria; Pseudomonadati; Myxococcota; Myxococcia. The record is from RNAcentral.
GGGCCUUUAGCUCAGCUGGGAGAGCGGUUGGCUGGCAGUCAACAGGUCGCAGGUUCGAUCCCUGUAAGGUCCACCA